UGAAACAUAUGAAAGUGGCCUCGUAGU
RNAcentral lists this small RNA (27 nucleotides) under Bombyx mori (domestic silkworm). Its description in RNAcentral is "ovarian small RNA-30403". Lineage: Eukaryota; Metazoa; Arthropoda; Insecta; Lepidoptera; Bombycidae. The record is from RNAcentral.